ACUUUGAUCCUGGCUCGGAUUGAACGCUGGCGGCGUGCCUAACACAUGCAAGUCGAACGCGAAAGUUUCUUCGGAAAUGAGUAGAGUGGCGCACGGGUGAGUAACGCGUGGAUUAUCUACCUACUGGUACGGGACAACAGUUGGAAACGACUGCUAAUACCGUAUACGCUGGUAACGGGAAAGGGGGCCUCUUCUUGAAAGCUCUCGCCAGUAGAUGAGUCCGCGUUUCAUUAGCUAGACGGUGGGGUAACGGCCUACCGUGGCAACGAUGAAUAGCAGGCCUGAGAGGGUGGCCUGCCACACUGGGACUGGAACACGGCCCAGACUCCUACGGGAGGCAGCAGUGGGGAAUAUUGCGCAAUGGACGAAAGUCUGACGCAGCGACGCCGCGUGGAGGAUGAAGGUUUUCGGAUCGUAAACUCCUGUCAAGAGGGAAGAAACCUAUCAUGAAUAAUACUCAUGGUAAUUGACGGUACCUCUAGAGGAAGCACCGGCUAAUUCAGUGCCAGCAGCCGCGGUA
RNAcentral lists this ribosomal RNA (520 nucleotides) under uncultured bacterium. RNAcentral's name for it is "bacterial SSU rRNA". It matches the Rfam family "Bacterial small subunit ribosomal RNA", at positions 10 to 522 of the family's 1533-position model. The record is from RNAcentral.